CUUUCCUGUGGGAGAGAUUGGGCAACAGUUUUGGAAGAAACAGCUUAGAAUUGCUGUUACAAACUUAAUGUUCUUAGUGCUCAUUGUCUAUUUUUAAGCAUAACACUUUCUACACUCCUUAAAAAAUGAUUAUAUGGAAGCCCUCUCAUGGUGCAAGAACAAGAUUUUCGUUAUGGAAAACUGAUAUUUAAACAGAGCUGUUUAAAAACUUUAAAAAAUAUUUCUAUCAUGCAUUGAUUUGGUUCCAAAUAAAACAUACGAGUUAAUGUUGAAGAAGAGCUUUGAGGAUGUAAAAUAGAUAUAUGUUCGUGGGAUAUUAAGUAAUAUGCAAUUAUUUUUUUUGCAGUUUGGAUGCCUUUCAUAUAGAAAUGAGUUUUUUCACUGCUUCAUAGAAGCACAAAUGAAAAUGUUCUCCUACUAGCUGGCCCUGGCAUAGCUUGCCGGCUCCAACUGUUCCUCAAAUGCUCUUUUAUUCCAACGAUCUGAAGCUCUAAAUUUAUUCACUAGCCACAACCUUGACAUCAUCCAGGUCUCUACACUCUCUUUUCAAAAUUCUAAGUGUUUUGCUUUCUUAUUCCUUACCAAGUUAUUACAGGAAUCAUCAGAUAAAUCCGUUAGUCCCACAGUUACUCUUCUGCCAGCACUUAAGAUUUCCUGUUUCCAUGCCUUCCCUCCCUGUAGCUCACACCAAAUGCCAACCUGGAAUUGCUUACAGCAUCUGUCCUAUCUGCUCGUGGUGGGUUUAAGUAUGCCAAAGAAUGCCAAAAAAUAAAAGGAUUCAGCACUGAGAAACAGAGGGAAUGACAAGCAGGAAGUGCUGUAAGCACUGAAGAGUGAUGACUUUCCACGGCAGAAACGGGCCAAGUGAGCCUUGAAGAGUGUGUAAGAUUGUCAUUCACAGAUGAAGCUGGGAAGAUACAAGCAAAAGCCUCCACAGACACUCAUCCUAAGGCAUACCUUGAAAUUUAAAAGCAGUUACAAUUUACUAUACUAAAAGCUCAGUCAAGUCACAUCUAACUUUGUAACACAAGAAAGGCAACUCGUGGCUGUCACAGUCAAACAUCAACAAAUCUAAGGAAAGAAUCAUAAAUAAUGAGAGAUAUAUUCAUUUCUCUACUGAGGUUUGAAAGAGCUAGAUCCUAGUUGCAGUUUGCAAGGAAGUGCCAGAAAUCAGCAUGUCGUCCACUCAGCAUCCGCCUCCCUAUUCUAUUUCCUAACUUUGUCCAGAUUUUCAUUCAGGUGUUCACUCCUCCCACAUGCAGGAGAAGCUAGCUCAUGAAUUAAUCAGUAUAAUCCAUGCCAUUGCCUAUUCUAUGACUGGCAUAUGAAGUCAGAGAGGACAAGUGCCCUAACUCAGUCCCGUUCCAGGACACGCUUAGAGAUGAGGAUGGCAGUUCUUUCUCAUGAAGUGAAUGCCAAUAUGAAAAAUGGAAACCCCAGUGGCAGCAGGAGCUGACUGAUGACUUUGACAGAAUGUUCAAGUGUCUAAAUGUCUUCUAAGGACUUUGCCUUGUCCUAACAAACUCCCUUUUAUGACAACAGAAACUCUUGAGUUUAGUGUGAAUUUGGAUCUCUGACAACUAAGCAGAUGUGGAAACCAACAUAACCGAAACUGGGAACAAAAAGAGGUUUAGUUGAACUUACAGUUGUUGAUUUGAACUACAAGAUUUCCCCAAGGACAGCCCUGGCUCUCUGGAACUCUAAGGGGGCUUCUGGAAUGCAUUUGAUUUAUUUAUUUGUCAUGAUCACCAUUACUGGUUCUAUGGUUCAGUUAAUACAGGGUACAAACUAAGUUUAUGUGAGACUUGGUCCACAAAGAUGCCAGUUCUGUUUCUCAACUAUUU
RNAcentral lists this long non-coding RNA (1844 nucleotides) under Homo sapiens (human). RNAcentral describes it as "non-protein coding lnc-DCT-15:1". The record is from RNAcentral. Lineage: Eukaryota; Metazoa; Chordata; Mammalia; Primates; Hominidae.